RNAcentral lists this ribosomal RNA (492 nucleotides) under uncultured bacterium. Its description in RNAcentral is "partial 16S ribosomal RNA". It matches the Rfam family "Bacterial small subunit ribosomal RNA", at positions 29 to 507 of the family's 1533-position model. The record is from RNAcentral.
AAUGAACGCUGGCGGCAUGCCUAACACAUGCAAGUCGAACGGCACCACAGUGAGAUCUUGCUCUUACGGGUGGCGGGUGGCGGACGGGUGACGAAUGCAUCGUAUACUACUCUUUCGGGGGUGAUAACGUAGGAAAACUUACUCUAAUACAGCAUAUAUCGUACUGGUUAGAGCAAUGGAUCUUCUAGCCUUUCGCGAUGGUAUUAGCCGAUGUCGGAUUAGCUAGUUGGCUGGGUAAAGGCCCACCAUGGCGACGCUCCGUAGCUCAUCCGAGAGGAUGAUCAGCCACACGGGAACUGAGACACGGUCCAGACUCCUGCGGGAGGCAGCAGUGGGGAAUCUUGCGCAAUGGGCGAAAGCCUGAUACAGCAAUACCGCGUGAGUGAAGAAGGAGUUCGGGUUGUAAAGCCCUGUUGUCGGGAAAGAACAGAAGCAGGUUUAUCCGCGGCUGUAAUGACGGUACCGAAAGAAUAAGCACCGGCUAACUUCGUG